UUAAGCGACUAAGCGUACACGGUGGAUGCCCUGGCAGUCAGAGGCGAUGAAGGACGUGCUAAUCUGCGAUAAGCGUCGGUGAGGUGAUAUGAACCGUUAUAACCGGCGAUUUCCGAAUGGGGAAACCCAGUGUGUUUCGACACACUAUCAUUAACUGAAUCCAUAGGUUAAUGAGGCGAACCGGGGGAACUGAAACAUCUAAGUACCCCGAGGAAAAGAAAUCAACCGAGAUUCCCCCAGUAGCGGCGAGCGAACGGGGAGGAGCCCAGAGCCUGAAUCAGUGUGUGUGUUAGUGGAAGCGUCUGGAAAGGCGCGCGAUACAGGGUGACAGCCCCGUACACAAAAAUGCACAUGCUGUGAGCUCGAUGAGUAGGGCGGGACACGUGGUAUCCUGUCUGAAUAUGGGGGGACCAUCCUCCAAGGCUAAAUACUCCUGACUGACCGAUAGUGAACCAGUACCGUGAGGGAAAGGCGAAAAGAACCCCGGCGAGGGGAGUGAAAAAGAACCUGAAACCGUGUACGUACAAGCAGUGGGAGCCUCUUAAUGGGGUGACUGCGUACCUUUUGUAUAAUGGGUCAGCGACUUAUAUUCUGUAGCAAGGUUAACCGAAUAGGGGAGCCGAAGGGAAACCGAGUCUUAACUGGGCGUUAAGUUGCAGGGUAUAGACCCGAAACCCGGUGAUCUAGCCAUGGGCAGGUUGAAGGUUGGGUAACACUAACUGGAGGACCGAACCGACUAAUGUUGAAAAAUUAGCGGAUGACUUGUGGCUGGGGGUGAAAGGCCAAUCAAACCGGGAGAUAGCUGGUUCUCCCCGAAAGCUAUUUAGGUAGCGCCUCGUGAAUUCAUCUCCGGGGGUAGAGCACUGUUUCGGCAAGGGGGUCAUCCCGACUUACCAACCCGAUGCAAACUGCGAAUACCGGAGAAUGUUAUCACGGGAGACACACGGCGGGUGCUAACGUCCGUCGUGAAGAGGGAAACAACCCAGACCGCCAGCUAAGGUCCCAAAGUCAUGGUUAAGUGGGAAACGAUGUGGGAAGGCCCAGACAGCCAGGAUGUUGGCUUAGAAGCAGCCAUCAUUUAAAGAAAGCGUAAUAGCUCACUGGUCGAGUCGGCCUGCGCGGAAGAUGUAACGGGGCUAAACCAUGCACCGAAGCUGCGGCAGCGACACUAUGUGUUGUUGGGUAGGGGAGCGUUCUGUAAGCCUGUGAAGGUAGCCUGUGAGGGUUGCUGGAGGUAUCAGAAGUGCGAAUGCUGACAUAAGUAACGAUAAAGCGGGUGAAAAGCCCGCUCGCCGGAAGACCAAGGGUUCCUGUCCAACGUUAAUCGGGGCAGGGUGAGUCGAUCCCUAAGGCGAGGCCGAAAGGCGUAGUCGAUGGGAAACAGGUUAAUAUUCCUGUACUUGGUGUUACUGCGAAGGGGGGACGGAGAAGGCUAUGUUGGCCGGGCGACGGUUGUCCCGGUUUAAGCGUGUAGGCUGGUUUUCCAGGCAAAUCCGGAAAAUCAAGGCUGAGGCGUGAUGACGAGGCACUACGGUGCUGAAGUGACAAAUGCCCUGCUUCCAGGAAAAGCCUCUAAGCAUCAGGUAACAUCAAAUCGUACCCCAAACCGACACAGGUGGUCAGGUAGAGAAUACCAAGGCGCUUGAGAGAACUCGGGUGAAGGAACUAGGCAAAAUGGUGCCGUAACUUCGGGAGAAGGCACGCUGAUAUGUAGGUGAAGCGACUUGCUCGUGGAGCUGAAAUCAGUCGAAGAUACCAGCUGGCUGCAACUGUUUAUUAAAAACACAGCACUGUGCAAACACGAAAGUGGACGUAUACGGUGUGACGCCUGCCCGGUGCCGGAAGGUUAAUUGAUGGGGUUAGCGGUAACGCGAAGCUCUUGAUCGAAGCCCCGGUAAACGGCGGCCGUAACUAUAACGGUCCUAAGGUAGCGAAAUUCCUUGUCGGGUAAGUUCCGACCUGCACGAAUGGCGUAAUGAUGGCCAGGCUGUCUCCACCCGAGACUCAGUGAAAUUGAACUCGCUGUGAAGAUGCAGUGUACCCGCGGCAAGACGGAAAGACCCCGUGAACCUUUACUAUAGCUUGACACUGAACAUUGAGCCUUGAUGUGUAGGAUAGGUGGGAGGCUUUGAAGUGUGGACGCCAGUCUGCAUGGAGCCGACCUUGAAAUACCACCCUUUAAUGUUUGAUGUUCUAACGUUGGCCCGUAAUCCGGGUUGCGGACAGUGUCUGGUGGGUAGUUUGACUGGGGCGGUCUCCUCCUAAAGAGUAACGGAGGAGCACGAAGGUUGGCUAAUCCUGGUCGGACAUCAGGAGGUUAGUGCAAUGGCAUAAGCCAGCUUGACUGCGAGCGUGACGGCGCGAGCAGGUGCGAAAGCAGGUCAUAGUGAUCCGGUGGUUCUGAAUGGAAGGGCCAUCGCUCAACGGAUAAAAGGUACUCCGGGGAUAACAGGCUGAUACCGCCCAAGAGUUCAUAUCGACGGCGGUGUUUGGCACCUCGAUGUCGGCUCAUCACAUCCUGGGGCUGAAGUAGGUCCCAAGGGUAUGGCUGUUCGCCAUUUAAAGUGGUACGCGAGCUGGGUUUAGAACGUCGUGAGACAGUUCGGUCCCUAUCUGCCGUGGGCGCUGGAGAACUGAGGGGGGCUGCUCCUAGUACGAGAGGACCGGAGUGGACGCAUCACUGGUGUUCGGGUUGUCAUGCCAAUGGCACUGCCCGGUAGCUAAAUGCGGAAGAGAUAAGUGCUGAAAGCAUCUAAGCACGAAACUUGCCCCGAGAUGAGUUCUCCCUGACUCCUUGAGAGUCCUGAAGGAACGUUGAAGACGACGACGUUGAUAGGCCGGGUGUGUAAGCGCAGCGAUGCGUUGAGCUAACCGGUACUAAUGAACCGUGAGGCUUAACCUU
Molecule: ribosomal RNA, 2902 nt
Filed under: Escherichia coli HVH 175 (4-3405184)
Lineage: Bacteria; Pseudomonadati; Pseudomonadota; Gammaproteobacteria; Enterobacterales; Enterobacteriaceae
Also listed under: 1 other name
Description: bacterial LSU rRNA
Rfam family: Bacterial large subunit ribosomal RNA
Source: RNAcentral